Molecule: ribosomal RNA, 253 nt
Filed under: uncultured bacterium
Lineage: Bacteria
Description: partial 16S ribosomal RNA
Rfam family: Bacterial small subunit ribosomal RNA
Source: RNAcentral
UACGGAAGGGGCAAGCGUUAUUCUGCAGUAUUGGGUGUAAAGGGUAUGUAGGCGGCCACUUAAACCCCCUGUUAAAACUUUGCGCAGAACGGAAGACGAACGGGGGCAGAUUUUUUGGCUAGAGUUAUGCAGGAGUUGGGAGAAUUUCAUAAGGAAGGAUCAAAUCUGCAGAUCUGUGAAGGAAGACCAAUGGCGAAGGCACCUUUCUAUGUCUAACUGACGCUGAGGUACGAAAGGAUGGGUAUCAAACGGG